UCCCACAAUGUCACAAAUAGCUUAAUUUCAGGUUUUCUGCAUCAUUCCUUUAAUUAUUAAUUAUUUUACCCUAUAUGUGUUUUUCUAAUAACAUUACUUUUGCUUGGAUUUUUUCCCCUCAUUCCUUUACUAUCCUGUAUGUUAUUUUACCCUAUAUAUUUAUUUUUCUAAAUAGCAUUAGUUCUGCUUCAAUUGAAGUUUACAAAAAAAUGUUAUCUCUCUUCUUUCACUCAAUAUUUUAUUUUUGAAAUUCAGCCUCUGAUGCUUGUAAGUGGUAGCUAUAGUUCCCUCAUUUUUACUGCUACAUGGUUUUCCGUGGUAUACGUUUUCCACACAUUUCUUCCUUCACAAUAUUUCAAAGGCGAUUUUGUGUGCUAAGCUCUUGGCCUAGAUCCUGCCCCAGCGCUUAAUAAAUAUUUGUUCAAUUGCUGAAUGAAACUGAGCGCCAACUGACUAUAACACUGACACUUGCUUUUCCGGCUAGCUUCUCUGCCCUUCGCCCCAUUGCUAAGGAUCCUGCCAGCAUUUCUGCCCUGAGUUAAUUACAGUUAUAAAAUUUCAUGACCAGCAGUGAGAAACCCGGCAGCCUCCCAAAGCGCCCAGGACUACAAUUCCCGGAAAGCUUUGCGGGCGCCCAAUUGCGUCAAUUUCAGUUUACUUUGCCCUCUCCAAGAACUUCCGGUUUCUGUGGGCGGGGCCAAAGGAGUUCUCCAAUGGGCACCUCCGUGGGCUGAGGGGGCGGGGAAAUUGUCCUUGGAGCCUAGUCGGGGAGGUGCCGGUUAGCAGGAAGGUUGCUGGAGCGGCUUCCAGUGGGCGUAGUCUGGCCUCAUCAUAUUUGCGUGAAGAGCCUGUAUUUUGCAGAGUUACAGUGUUUUGCCUUUGCUAGGUGAGUCUGCACUUUCAGGAGUGUAGUGGGGGCUACGUGGGCCGUGUUAUGACUACAGGUGUGUGUCAUGUGCCUGAAAGCAUGAAAAAGAAAGCACGAGGCUUGAGUGUACUCCACUCAUUCAGUCGUUCAACAACAGUUAAGAGCUUACUUUGUGCUUGUCCCUUUGUUUUGGCCUGUUGGUGGGGUUUUGCUGAUUGAGAGCCAAAAAAAAAAAAAAAAAAAGAUGAACUGGAUUGAGGUGGUGUCUGAACUCACCUCCAGUUGGAAAAGACAGGAAGUAAAGAAUUACCCAGGAAGUAACAUAGUUACAAGUUUGCCUUGAUUGGUGAGAAAUGUAGCCAUGCCAUUAGAGUUUGUGAUUUCAAUGCUGUUUGAGCAUGAACUAAACUCAACUCUGGUUUGUACAGAGGGUGUCUUAAAAGGGAGAAUGAGAGAGGAAGGAGGUGGGCAGGCAGGGGUCCAGUAGAGUCAGAGAAGAAUUACAGAAAAUGGGAAAGGGGGGGUUGGCCCAUGUGAAACCAUCUGGAUUUGCUAACUGGGAAACGGGGUGUUGUCUGGAAUAAACAGUAAAUUCUUUUGGUUGCUUGGAGUUUUCUGAAGCAAGCACACUAAGGGAGCCGAGAAUCAUCCUAGGGAUGUGGCCUUGAAUUGUGAGAAACCACGCUAGUGUGUGCUCAGGUUUUUAUAUUACAAGCCAAGUUUAAGGUCUAGUUGAGGAGCGGCUCAGAGGAGCCUCUCCUAGAGGUUGGUCAAGGAAAGAAUCUUGGUCGGUAUAAAAUAGUUUGCUGCUUCUUGUGUUGUGUGACUAUACCACAAGUUGUUCUUUUCACCUGAUGAUGCUCUUUGGCCAUUGGGAAUAGGCUGCAAUGAACAUUCUUCUAUCAGCCUUACGUUUCUCUUGGAUAAAUAUCUAGGAGUGGGGAAUGGCUCAGUCAUAGGGAGGGUAUGUAUUUAACUGCCAGACUCAUCUCCAAAGGGGUUUAUCAGUUUACACUUCCCAGUAGCAAUGUAUCAAAACUCCAGCUGCUCCAUAUCCUUGUUAAGCAUUCGGUAUUGUCAGUGGAUGUGAAAUGGCAUCUCAUUCUGGUCCUAAGUGGAAUUUCCUGGUGACAAAUGCAUACUUCUUAUGUGCUUAUUCCUGUAUCUUCUUUUGUGAAUUUGUUCAAGUUCUUUGCUCUUUUUGCUGCCAAUGAUAAGGUUGGUUUCAACGUCUUAGAAUUCAUUAUAUAUUCUGGCUAGGAAUCCUUUGCUUAGAUGUUUUGUAAAUAGAUGUACAUGUAUAGGAAAAUGAAAAUUUAAAAUAUCAUUUACAAUAGCAUUAAAAAAGCUAUCUAUCUAUGGAGUUCCCAUUGUGGCACAGGGAAAACAAAUCUGACUAGUAUCCACGAGGAUGCAGGUUCUAUCCUAGGCCCCGCUCAGUGGGUUAAGGAUCUGGCAUUGCCAUGAGCUGUGGUGAAGGUUGCAGAUGUGGCUUGGAUUCCUUGUUACUGUGAUGUGGUACAGGCAGGCAGGUGUAGCUGUGAUUCAACUCUUCUUCUGGGCACUUCCAUAUGCCUUGGGUGUGGCCUUAAAAAGCAAAAAUAAAUAAAUAAACAACAAACCCACCAACCAGUGGUCUAAGUCCUAGACAAGGCCCUCGCCAUCUUUUUUUGGAAGAAAUUCAUAAAUUGAUUCUAAAAUGUGUGUGAAAACACAAAGGUUCUAGAAUAGCCAAAAAAAAAAAAAAAAAAAAAAAAGAACCAAACAAAAAAACCCAAAAACAAAAACAAACAAACAAAAAAACCACAACUUGAAAAGAAAAGGGAAGUCAGGGAACUUAAACACUGCUUAAACUAAGUCUAAAGAUACAGUUAAGCUACAGUGUUCAAAACAAUUUGGCCUUACUAUAUAGGUAGGAAAAUAGCAUCAGUGAAACAGAAGCGAAACUACACCAGUGCUGUCAGUUGAUUUCUGCCCAGAGGGCCACGUUAGUUUUCCUUUUCCCAAUAAGAAAAAGGAAAGUCUCUUGAACCAAUGCUUCUGGAUCAGCUGGAUAUUCAAGUGGAAACAGAAUGAGCUGUGACCUCAUUCUACAAACACUAAUUUGGG
Molecule: non-coding RNA, 2977 nt
Organism: Sus scrofa (pig)
Lineage: Eukaryota; Metazoa; Chordata; Mammalia; Artiodactyla; Suidae
Source: RefSeq, a predicted model, not a curated record